RNAcentral lists this ribosomal RNA (284 nucleotides) under uncultured bacterium. RNAcentral describes it as "partial 16S ribosomal RNA". It matches the Rfam family "Bacterial small subunit ribosomal RNA", at positions 355 to 631 of the family's 1533-position model. The record is from RNAcentral.
UAGGGAAUCUUCCACAAUGGACGCAAGUCUGAUGGAGCAACGCCGCGUGAGUGAAGAAGGUUUUCGGACCGUAAAGCUCUGUUGUUGGUGAAGAAGGAUAGAGGUAGUAACUGGCCUUUAUUUGACGGUAAUCAACCAGAAAGUCACGGCUAACUACGUGCCAGCAGCCGCGGUAAUACGUAGGUGGCAAGCGUUGUCCGGAUUUAUUGGGCGUAAAGCGAGCGCAGGCGGAAGAAUAAGUCUGAUGUGAAAGCCCUCGGCUUAACCGAGGAAUUGCAUCGGAA